This 365-nucleotide ribosomal RNA is filed under the name uncultured Oscillospiraceae bacterium. RNAcentral's name for it is "bacterial SSU rRNA". It matches the Rfam family "Bacterial small subunit ribosomal RNA", at positions 28 to 339 of the family's 1533-position model. Lineage: Bacteria; Bacillati; Bacillota; Clostridia; Eubacteriales; Oscillospiraceae. The record is from RNAcentral.
GAUAAACGCUGGCGGCGCACAUAAGACAUGCAAGUCGAACGGAAGUCGUUAUAUUGAUUUUGAAGAGAACGGAGAACUUGUUCAAAGGGACAUGAUGAAGAUUUAUAACAAUGGCUUUAGUGGCGGACUGGUGAGUAAUACGUAAGCAACCUGCCUAUUAGAGGGGAACAACAGUUAGAAAUGACUGCUAAUACCGCAUAUGCCAUAGGAAUCACAUGAUUCUAAUGGGAAAGGAGUAAUCCGCUAACAGAUGGGCUUACGGCUGAUUAGCUAGUUGGUGUGGUAACGGCAUACCAAGGCGACGAUCAGUAGCCGGACUGAGAGGUUCAACGGCCACAUUGGGACUGAGAUACGGCCCAGACUCC